ACAAACCAAAUGUUUGAAACUCAAAGGACUUGGCGGUGCCUCAAACCCACCUAGAGGAGCCUGUUCUAUAAUCGAUAAUCCACGAUCUACCUCACCACCUCUCGCCCACAGCCUAUAUACCUCCGUCCACAGCUUACCCUACUAAGGAACAAAAGUAAGCACAAUAGUUUACACAACUAAUAAGUCAGGUCAAGGUGUAGCCAACUGAGAUGGAAGAAAUGGGCUACAUUUUCUACACUAGAAAUAUUAACGGAAAGAACCCUGAA
RNAcentral lists this ribosomal RNA (266 nucleotides) under Elseya branderhorsti (New Guinea snapping turtle). Its description in RNAcentral is "partial 12S ribosomal RNA". The record is from RNAcentral. Lineage: Eukaryota; Metazoa; Chordata; Testudines; Chelidae.